Molecule: long non-coding RNA, 3084 nt
Filed under: Oreochromis niloticus (Nile tilapia)
Lineage: Eukaryota; Metazoa; Chordata; Actinopteri; Cichliformes; Cichlidae
Description: lncRNA (ENSONIG00000037465.1)
Source: RNAcentral
CGAUGUUAUUAUAUUUGAUUCAUUACCAGUGUUGGUUCAAAGAGGUUGAUUCGGUUUGCUGUUUGCUAUCAGUUGACAUUUAACUGUUCCCUGAAUGUUUGCCUGCCUUGGAUACUGUUAAUGUCAACGUGUGGUUUGCCUCCACCAAAAGAUGAGAAAUACACGGAAGACAGAGAGCAAAGGAGAAGAAGAAGUAGUGGGAACACAGAUGGAGGUGAGAGGGAAGGACAGACAGAACAGUGAAUGAGAGGAGAGAGGGAGAAGCCUCAAAGAAGUAGAAAGAAGUCGGGUAUAGCGACAGGGAGAGGAGGGAAUCACUCAGUCGUUUCUGCGGAGAGAAAGAGUUCACUGAGCCUGAAAAAAGAAGAAGAGGAGGAACGAGAAGAAGAAGAAGGCUACUGCAGAAAAUGUCAGUUACAACAAAAUCACCUAUGCCCUGUGGCCCGAUCCCGGACAUUUCUGGAACACGGGCAAGUCAGGAUGACAAAAAGUGCUUUUAAGCUUGUUGUCAGUACCUCACAGUAAACCAAUAAAAAAUGAGCCUCUGCUUGGUGGUCUCUCUCGCUCUCGCCUAGUUUCAUGGCUCACUUUGACAUUUGAAUUGUGUUUUGAGGGGUAGACUGCAGGUACUCAGAGGUCCCAAAUGAGUGUAAACACUCAAGGUUAAAGUGUGAAGGUGAGAAGAGAGAAGAGGUCGCAUCUGCAGGUGAGAAUGAAAUGCCAGAUUCCUAUUACGGUGCCGCCCUGGCAGGUGUCAUGCGGAUAAACCCCGGACGAGAAAAGAGGGUGCAGAGAGGGAGGCGAGCGAAGAAGGGAAUGGGGCCGAUCCUACAGAGUACACGGCAGGUCCCUCGUUGUGUGUUAGAGGAGAGGAGUCACAUCCGCAGGUACCAAACUAUUGACUGACAUCAGAGGACACACUGUAAGGACAAUCACAACAACAGCAAGCGCGACCUAAACAACAGGGCUCGUCUACAUCAUAUGCAAGUACAGUGCCUCACACUGUUUUUGUACCCCAUGCACUCAGAAGCGUAAUUUUGUCUUUUUUAGAUGCUCUGAAGACAAAACACAUUUUAUUGCGUGACCUCCUAACCUUCCUUUUAGAAACAAGUUAUUUCGCCAAAUAAAUUGUAUAUGGUUUGAACGUGAAGUAAUAAUGUCAUUUUUCUGUAUAUCUGUUUCCAAGUGCAUUUGGGUGCAUCUCCGAGGACACAUUCAUGAACACACAUGAAUGCAUGGCUGGUGGCUGUCAUUGGCAGGAACACCCACAGGCUAUAUUUUCUAUAAUAAUCCCUCAUUUUACUGUCUAUAUAGUGUGCUCUCUUUGAUGAGAUAUCAUCGACACUGAACGAGACAGUGUGAGUAGGGAACCUAAUUACCUCUGCCCGAUGGACAGAAAAUGAUCACUGUGAAUGUAAUAAGGCUGUUUGCCUGAGAAAACGACUUGGGACUCCCUGUCGCGUUUCGAAUUAGAAAAACGACAGGUUAAAAACCCACCUGUGUCUUCAACUCAGACACUAAUGUGGAGUCAGUGCACUUCUCAUCUUUGCUCUGUUGCUAUCUGUAAAAUUGUCUGUAUCGGUCACGGGCCUGGACCCGCCACGACACUGUUUUGCUUUGAGGAAGUUUUGUCCCCUUAAACUUUUUUUUCCCCCAACUUCUCGUCUACUUGAGCAGUGAUAUCAUUGACAUUCUAAUAAGCCCAUAAAACAACUAUUACUGACUCGGACUGGGUUGGUGGCGGACUGCCUGUUGGGACCACUGGUCUGUUUCCCAGAAGCUAGGUCAUUUUGGACACUAUGAACAAUCACCUUGAAUAAAGAUGAUAUGGUAAUGACAAGCAGGGUUGAGUUGAUAGAGCCCUUAUUAAGCAUGAGUCUCCUGCUCUCACCACCAUGCUGAUCAUACUUGUGCAAACACCGCAAAGCAUGAAACAUCUGCCCACUAUUCCACCACUAACAUUUAAAAUGACAGAAGAAAAGAGGAAGAUCCAAAUAUGGUCAAAGGUCAAAAACACUGGUAAAAACACAGUGUUUUUGCUUAUUCUCAUUUUCAGUGAAAGUGAUUGUGUGAGGGUUUUUUUUUUUUUAAAUGUAUUUGCUUAAUAGCUUAGUAACACUAGGGUAGGACAGCGACUUCCUUGCAAUUUGGAUGGGCGAUUACCAAAUAAUUCCAUUAGUUUUUUAUUUUUUAUUUAUUUUUUUGCUGUCAGAGGCUAAUUGCAAGUAGUUGCAGUGACCAGCUAGUUGUCUAACGGUUGGGGAUGCAACACCCUAAAAACUCUGGGUGAACUCCUCAAAUCACAAGGCGAUUGGACAAGUUUACCUGAGGUUACAAUUACGGUCUAACUGCAAUCACUCUGCUAGAUUGACAAAGGUUUGCAAAUAAUUGCCGUCUAAUUUAUAAAAUCAGACAGAUUGACAAUAUGUUGCAAUCAAUAGGAGUCAGUCAGUGCUGAUGACUGCAAUUUGUCUGCGAUGUAUCUCUUUGCAGUAGGGGACUUGUUAGCUGGUUGUAUUCUGCUUCUACUACUAUAUAAAAGCAAGGCUGCCGAGCCCGUUUCUCAUUUUUUAGUUAAAUUGCAUGUGUGUCGCUAUUUCUGGAGGAAUUGCUGGUCAAUAAUCUGUGAAUGUAAGUACUUAAAGUGAAUUUCUGCUUAAUGCAAAUUUCUCUGCACAUAACAAUGCAUCAUCGAUUGGCAGUUUUCAGUUAAUGGCCCUAUUAUCACAAACAAAUUGCGCGUAAAUGCCAACAUGACUCCAUACACUUGCAACUGAUAGCAGACUGACUCUAUUUUACUGCCAUUUUAUUGUUGUCUUGAUGCACCAAAGUUGCUUUUGAAGAUGGCAACAGACUGUGAGUGGCUGCUGACUGGCUGACUCGUCUUUGAGGCAACCAUUUCAAAGGCAACAAGAUCCCAUGAUGACUGCAGACGGUUGCAAUCAUUUUGGUCAUGCCAUGGUCUCCAUCCCACUGUUCUGUGAGUCACCAGCAGAUAUUCGGGACACAUCAUCAGUUGUGUUGCUCAGUAUCAUCCAGUGUUUUGUUUUUUUACUCACAAAACAAGUAUGGCUUGUAUUGAAG